UACAGAGGGGGCAAGCGUUAUUCGGAAUUAUUGGGCGUAAAGGGCGCGUAGGCGGCCUGGCAAGUGGAAGGUGAAAUCCCUCGGCUUAACCGAGGAACUGCCUCCCAAACUGCUUGGCUUGAGACCGGGAGAGGUGAGUGGAAUUCCCAGUGUAGCGGUGAAAUGCGUAGAUAUUGGGAGGAACACCAGUGGCGAAGGCGGCUCACUGGACCGGUACUGACGCUGAGGCGCGAAAGCGUGGGGAGCAAACGGG
RNAcentral lists this ribosomal RNA (253 nucleotides) under uncultured bacterium. RNAcentral's name for it is "partial 16S ribosomal RNA". It matches the Rfam family "Bacterial small subunit ribosomal RNA", at positions 524 to 776 of the family's 1533-position model. The record is from RNAcentral.